UUGGAAGCAGCCAUUCAUUUAAAGAGUGCGUAACAGCUCACUAGUCGAGGAGUUUUGCAUGGAUAAUAAUCGGGCAUAAGCCCUUUACCGAAGCUGUGGAUGUCGUAAGACAUGGUAGGGGAGCAUUCCGGCGGCGACGAAGGCCGUCCUCGAGGACGACUGGAGCUUUCGGAAAAGCAAAUGUAGGUAUAAGUAACGAUAAAGGGGGCGCGAAACCCCCUCGCCAUAAGACUAAGGAUUCCUGAUCAACGCUAAUCGGAUCAGGGUAAGUCGGGCCCUAAGGCGCAGCCGAACGGCGUAGCCGAUGGAAGAAACGGUAAAGAUUCCGUUACUGGAUAUAGGAGCGAUGUGGAGACGGAGAAGUGACACACCCGCCUGCCGACGGAAGCGCAGGUUAAAGGAAGUAGGUAGACGCCGGGUAGGCAAAUCCGCCUGGCGUGCCGAAGCUGACAGUAUCGAGAGCCCCCGGGCAAUCGAAUAGCGGUGGUAAUCAGGCUCCCAAGAAAAUCCGCUAAGCAUAUUCUAUAUUCACCCGUACCCCAAACGGACACACGUAGUCGGGUAGAAUAUACCAAGGCGCUCGAAAGACUCACGGUUAAGGAACUAGGCAAAUUGACCCUGUAACCUCGGGAAAAAGGGUCCCCAGUAAGAUGGGGCGCAGAGAAUAGGUCCAGGCAACUGUUUAACAAAAACACAGGGCUGUGCAAAAUUGAAAGAUGAAGUAUACAGCCUGACACCUGCCCGGUGCUGGAAGGUUAAGAGGAGAUGUCAUCGCAAGAGAAGCAUUGAAUUGAAGCCCCAGUAAACGGCGGCCGUAACUAUAACGGUCCUAAGGUAGCGAAAUUCCUUGUCGGGUAAGUUCCGACCUGCACGAAUGGUGUAAUGAUCUGGACACUGUCUCAACCGUGAGCUCAGUGAAAUUGUAGUAUCGGUGAAGAUGCCGAUUACCCGCGAUGGGACGAAAAGACCCCGUGAACCUUUACUAUAGCUUAACAUUGAAUUUGGGUAAUUGAUGUGUAGGAUAGGCCGGAGGCUUUGAAGCAGGUACGCCAGUAUUUGUGGAGCCGCUGUUGAAAUACGGCCCUUUGGUUAUUUGAGUUCUAACUCGUUGAUACGAGGACACUGUUUGGUGGGUAGUUUGACUGGGGUGGUCGCCUCCAAAAAUGUAACGGAGGCUUCUAAAGGUGCCCUCACGCCGAUUGGUAACCGGCGGCAGAGUGUAAUGGCAUAAGGGCGCUUGACUGGGAGACUUACAAGUCGAUCAGGUAGGAAACUAGAGCAUAGUGAUCCGGUGUUUCUGUAUGGAAAGGACAUCGCUCAAAGGAUAAAAGGUACUCCGGGGAUAACAGGCUGAUCCCUCCCA
RNAcentral lists this ribosomal RNA (1363 nucleotides) under human gut metagenome. Its description in RNAcentral is "bacterial LSU rRNA". It matches the Rfam family "Bacterial large subunit ribosomal RNA", at positions 1106 to 2494 of the family's 2925-position model. The record is from RNAcentral.